ACUCCGACUGCUCUGAGGUCCAGGUACCAGGCCCGGAAACCACGGAAAGGGGAACUUGGUCUUUUCUUGUUUUGCUCUCAACCCCUUCCUGUCUCCAAGCCCAGGGCAGCUGCCCCGCUCACCCCACCCUGCCCUCGUCCCCACCCUCCCCGAGACUCAAUUCCGUGGGGAGUCGGGCCCUCGACACUGUGCUGACCCCCGGCCACCCACCUCCAUCUUGGCCGCGGUGGUCCCUAGCCC
This 240-nucleotide long non-coding RNA is filed under the name Homo sapiens (human). RNAcentral describes it as "non-protein coding lnc-BOLA2B-1:6". Lineage: Eukaryota; Metazoa; Chordata; Mammalia; Primates; Hominidae. The record is from RNAcentral.